RNAcentral lists this ribosomal RNA (488 nucleotides) under uncultured bacterium. RNAcentral's name for it is "bacterial SSU rRNA". It matches the Rfam family "Bacterial small subunit ribosomal RNA", at positions 28 to 507 of the family's 1533-position model. The record is from RNAcentral.
GAUGAACGCUAGCGGGAGGCUUAACACAUGCAAGUCGAGGGGCAUCACGAGGUAGCAAUACUUUGGUGGCGACCGGCAAACGGGUGAGUAACGCGUAUGCAACCUACCCUGUACAGGGGGAUAACCCGGAGAAAUUCGGACUAAUAUCCCGUAAUAAUAUCCGGAGGCAUCUUUGGAUAUUUAAAGUUCCGACGGUACGGGAUGGGCAUGCGUAACAUUAACUGGUUGGUAAGGUAACGGCUUACCAAGGCUAUGAUGUUUAGGGGUCCUGAGAGGGUGGUCCCCCACACUGGUACUGAGACACGGACCAGACUCCUACGGGAGGCAGCAGUGAGGAAUAUUGGUCAAUGGGCGCAAGCCCUGAACCAGCCAUCCCGCGUGCAGGAAGACGGCCCUAUGGGUUGUAAACUGCUUUUCCAGGGAGAGAAACUUACGCACGUGUUGCGUGACUGACGGUACCCUGGGAAUAAGCAUCGGCUAACUCCGUG